Molecule: ribosomal RNA, 90 nt
Filed under: Trachinocephalus myops (snakefish)
Lineage: Eukaryota; Metazoa; Chordata; Actinopteri; Aulopiformes; Synodontidae
Description: partial 16S rRNA
Source: RNAcentral
GCCGUACUUCUAGCCUGCUUACCAGGUCUACCCCACCAUCAUUAAGUAGACCAGAACAAAUUUCAUUACUAAACCAAAACAUUUUUCCGC